UUAGAUGUCCGGGGCCGCACGCGCGCUACACUGAAGGAAUCAACGUGUGCUUUCCCCGUCCGCCAGGACCGGGUAACCCGGUGAAACUCCUUCGUGAUAGGGAUAGGGGCUUGUAAUUGUUCCCCUUGAACGAGGAAUUCCCAGUAAGCGCGAGUCAUCAGCUCGUGUUGAUUACGUCCCUGGCCUUUGUACACACCGCCCGUCGCCACUACCGAUUGAAUGAUUUAGUGAGGUCUUCGGACUGGCGCCCGGAGCGGACUUGAGCCGGGCCGGCGUGCCGGAAAGAUGACCGAACUUGAUCAUUUAGAGGAAGUGAAAGUCGUAACAAGGUUUCC
Molecule: ribosomal RNA, 335 nt
Filed under: Papiamenta sp. MRAC639
Lineage: Eukaryota; Metazoa; Arthropoda; Arachnida; Araneae; Pholcidae
Description: bacterial SSU rRNA
Rfam family: Eukaryotic small subunit ribosomal RNA
Source: RNAcentral